RNAcentral lists this transfer RNA (85 nucleotides) under Ilumatobacteraceae bacterium. RNAcentral describes it as "tRNA-Leu". It matches the Rfam family "tRNA". Rfam says of the family: Transfer RNA (tRNA) molecules are approximately 80 nucleotides in length. Their secondary structure includes four short double-helical elements and three loops (D, anti-codon, and T loops). The record is from RNAcentral. Lineage: Bacteria; Bacillati; Actinomycetota; Acidimicrobiia; Acidimicrobiales; Ilumatobacteraceae.
GCGGGCGUGGCGAAACAGGCAGACGCGCGGGCCUUAGGAGCCCGUUCCGCAAGGAGUGUGGGUUCAAGUCCCUCCGCCCGCACCA